Molecule: transfer RNA, 69 nt
Filed under: Oncomelania hupensis
Lineage: Eukaryota; Metazoa; Mollusca; Gastropoda; Littorinimorpha; Pomatiopsidae
Also listed under: 1 other name
Description: tRNA-Lys
Source: RNAcentral
UCCUAAAUGACUGAGAAUAAGUGUUAGACUUUUAAUUUAAUUACGGUAAUUCAUUUUUACCUUUAGGAA